GGAGUUAGCCGGUGCUUCUUCUGUGAGUGAUGUCCUUCCUGCCGGUUAUUGACCCGCAGGCCUUCUUCCUCACUGAAAGUGCUUUACAACCCGAAGGCCUUCUUCACACACGCGGCAUGGCUGGAUCAGGGUUGCCCCCAUUGUCCAAUAUUCCCCACUGCUGCCUCCCGUAGGAGUCUGGGCCGUGUCUCAGUCCCAGUGUGGCUGAUCAUCCUCUCAGACCAGCUACGGAUCGUCGCCUUGGUGAGCCGUUACCUCACCAACCAGCUAAUCCGACAUAGGCUCAUCCGAUAGCGCGAGGCCCGAAGGUCCCCCGCUUUCCCCCGUAGGGCGUAUGCGGUAUUAGCCUGGGUUUCCCCAGGUUAUCCCCCACUACCGGGCAGAUUCCUAUGCAUUACUCACCCGUCCGCCGCUCGCCACCAGGGAGCAAGCUCCCCGUGCUGCCGCUCGACUUGCAUGUGUUAGCUGCCGCCACGCGUUCAUCUGAGCCAGAAUACAACUACUGA
Molecule: ribosomal RNA, 506 nt
Filed under: uncultured bacterium
Lineage: Bacteria
Description: partial 16S ribosomal RNA
Source: RNAcentral